AAUGAGCAGACAUUGUGAUGAAACCACAGACGCUGUGAAGAAGGGGCAGGUAGACCGGGGUAGUCCCAUAGGAAGGGACAGCCCAGGGCUGGGUCCUGUGGUGGCAAAGCAGCAGAAGAUGAAGUCUGGGAUGGAUCAGGGCUUUGCAAACAAAGGCUCCUGGAAAUAAUGACCGUGCAACUCAAUCCGAUGAUGUCCCCGGGUCUCUGUUUCCACUGGUGCCCUUGGCAGGCAGUUCCCAGGAGAGCAGCCCAGCCAAGAACUGCAUGGGAACAACAGCUUCUGCUGGGGGUAAGCUUUAUUAUUAUGUGAAGAUGUAAAGAGAGGGAGAAGCUGGUGACGCACCUUGGGACAAUAAGGAUAUUCCAACUUCUUGCUUCGCAAAGGUGGAUAUUUACAUGCACAGCGAAUAAAUUUACCCCUGAGAGAUCUUGGUCCCAUGUAGCUUUGAAAGUGUUCAGACCCAAUUACCUUAUUAAGACCAACGUACAUUUAUAGGCUCUAUCCGUUGACAGCAUCAUGCCCCAAACUGUACCUGGCUUAGCUUUUAUUUCAGAUGUCUGCUGGCCAAAAAGCCUGGAAAAGGCAGCACAGUAACUUCUUCCAAUGAGAAUUAAAAGCGGAGGUUUCUCCGGCCAAGGGAAGCAAUCAGUCACCGAAAUCAAAAGAUCCGUCAUCAAAGUCGAAGGCGAGGAACGAAUAGCCUCCUAAAUCAGUCAAACAAUUUAAACAUCCCUUUUGUAAUUGGCAAUUUUGUAAUAUUUAUUCACAACAGAUCUGAUUGCCGGAUUCCCACUGGCUCCCCUCAGGAGGGUUUGCGUGAAAUCAGUUUGAAAUGGUGUGUCAAUUUUUUUCUGAAGUCACCAUCUGGCUGAUAGACUUGAGUCUGUUCUAAUACACUGACCCAGUGAAUCGCUGCUAAACAAUUCCCGGGGGUCCCGCUCCUCUCGCAGGCAAUCCAGGAGAGCGCUGCUGGGAGGGAGCAAGCCUGGCAGGCACAUCUGAAUGUGCUGUGUUGGGGGAUUGUAGAAGAAUUUGAUUUGUGUAAAGAAACAGAAAUCUUGGGAUGGUCC
Long non-coding RNA from Gallus gallus (chicken), 1073 nucleotides. RefSeq lists it as uncharacterized. NCBI's taxonomy places the organism in Eukaryota, Metazoa, Chordata, Aves, Galliformes, Phasianidae. The transcript is spliced from 3 exons. The record is from RefSeq and is a predicted model, not a curated record.